UCACUACUUGCGUAGGCAGUUGAAUUAGAGUUCCCACCAUUAUGUGCUGGCAACUAAUUCCAGGGGUUGCUCUCGUUGCUGGACUUAACCAAACACCUCACGGCACGAGCUGACGACAGCCACGCAGCACCUGUACAGCCCCCCUUGCGGGUACACAGCUUUCGCUGCUUUAGACUGCUUUUCAAGCCUAGGUAAGGUUCUUCGCGUUGCAUCGAAUUAAACCACAUGCUCCACCGCUUGUGCGGGCCCCCGUCAAUUCCUUUGAGUUUUAAUCUUGCGACCGUACUCCCCAGGCGGGAUGCUUAAUGCGUUAGCUGCGCCACUGACAGGUAAACCUGCCAACGGCUAGCAUCCAUCGUUUACGGCGUGGACUAC
Molecule: unclassified non-coding RNA, 375 nt
Filed under: uncultured bacterium
Lineage: Bacteria
Description: contains 16S-23S intergenic spacer region
Source: RNAcentral